AUUGAACGCUGGCGGCAGGCCUAACACAUGCAAGUCGAGCGGAUGAAGGGAGCUUGCUCCUGGAUUCAGCGGCGGACGGGUGAGUAAUGCCUAGGAAUCUGCCUGGUAGUGGGGGAUAACGUCCGGAAACGGGCGCUAAUACCGCAUACGUCCUGAGGGAGAAAGUGGGGGAUCUUCGGACCUCACGCUAUCAGAUGAGCCUAGGUCGGAUUAGCUAGUUGGUGGGGUAAAGGCCUACCAAGGCGACGAUCCGUAACUGGUCUGAGAGGAUGAUCAGUCACACUGGAACUGAGACACGGUCCAGACUCCUACGGGAGGCAGCAGUGGGGAAUAUUGGACAAUGGGCGAAAGCCUGAUCCAGCCAUGUCGCGUGUGUGAAGAAGGUCUUCGGAUUGUAAAGCACUUUAAGUUGGGAGGAAGGGCAGUAAGUUAAUACCUUGCUGUUUUGACGGUACCAACAGAAUAAGCACCGGCUAACUUCGUG
Molecule: ribosomal RNA, 484 nt
Filed under: uncultured bacterium
Lineage: Bacteria
Description: partial 16S ribosomal RNA
Rfam family: Bacterial small subunit ribosomal RNA
Source: RNAcentral